RNAcentral lists this ribosomal RNA (439 nucleotides) under uncultured bacterium. RNAcentral describes it as "partial 16S ribosomal RNA". It matches the Rfam family "Bacterial small subunit ribosomal RNA", at positions 339 to 795 of the family's 1533-position model. The record is from RNAcentral.
CUACGGGUCGCUCCAGUGAGGAAUAUUGCACAAUGGGGGAAACCCUGAUGCAGCAACGCCGCGUGGAGGAUGACGCAUUUCGGUGUGUAAACUCCUUUUAUGAGUCAAGAAAAUGACGGUAGCUCAUGAAUAAGCACCGGCUAACUCCGUGCCAGCAGCCGCGGUAAUACGGAGGGUGCAAGCGUUACUCGGAAUCACUGGGCGUAAAGGUCGCGUAGGCGGGCUUGUAAGUCAGGUGUGAAAUCCUACAGCUUAACUGUAGAACUGCACUUGAAACUACGAGCCUAGAGUAUGGGAGGGGCAGAUGGAAUUAGUGGUGUAGGGGUAAAAUCCGUAGAUAUCACUAGGAAUACCGAAAGCGAAGGCGAUCUGCUGGAACAUUACUGACGCUAAGGCGUGAAAGCGUGGGGAGCAAACGGGAUUAGAUACCCUGGUAGUC